Molecule: transfer RNA, 71 nt
Filed under: Cordylochernes scorpioides
Lineage: Eukaryota; Metazoa; Arthropoda; Arachnida; Pseudoscorpiones; Chernetidae
Description: tRNA-Gly
Rfam family: tRNA
About the family: Transfer RNA (tRNA) molecules are approximately 80 nucleotides in length.
Source: RNAcentral
GCAUCGGUGGUUCAGUGGUAGAAUGCUCACCUGCCACGCGGGCGGCCAGGGUUCGAUUCCUGGCUGAUGCA